This 376-nucleotide ribosomal RNA is filed under the name uncultured bacterium. RNAcentral describes it as "bacterial SSU rRNA". It matches the Rfam family "Bacterial small subunit ribosomal RNA", at positions 524 to 898 of the family's 1533-position model. The record is from RNAcentral.
UACGUAGGUGGCAAGCGUUGUCCGGAUUUACUGGGCGUAAAGGGAGCGUAGGCGGAUACUUAAGUGGGAUGUGAAAUACCUGGGCUUAACUUGGGUGCUGCAUUCCAAACUGGGUGUCUAGAGUGUUGGAGAGGAAAGUGGAAUUCCUAGUGUAGCGGUGAAAUGCGUAGAGAUUGGGAAGAACACCAGUGGCGAAGGCGACUUUCUGGACAAUAACUGACGCUGAGGCUCGAAAGCGUGGGGAGCAAACAGGAUUAGAUACCCUGGUAGUCCACGCCGUAAACGAUGGGUACUAGGUGUAGGAGGUAUCGACUCCUCUUGUGCCGCCGUUAACACAAUAAGUACCCCGCCUGGGGAGUACGGUCGCAAGAUUAAA